GAUGAACGCUAGCUACAGGCUUAACACAUGCAAGUCGAGGGGAAACGGCAUUUAGUGCUUGCACCGAAUGGACGUCGACCGGCGCACGGGUGAGUAACGCGUAUCCAACCUUCCCAUUACUGUGGGAUAACCUGCCGAAAGGCAGACUAAUACCGCAUAGUCUUCGAUGACGGCAUCAGAUUUGAAGUAAAGAUUUAUCGGUAAUGGAUGGGGAUGCGUCUGAUUAGCUUGUUGGCGGGGUAACGGCCCACCAAGGCAACGAUCAGUAGGGGUUCUGAGAGGAAGGUCCCCCACAUUGGAACUGAGACACGGUCCAAACUCCUACGGGAGGCAGCAGUGAGGAAUAUUGGUCAAUGGACGAGAGUCUGAACCAGCCAAGUAGCGUGCAGGAUGACGGCCCUAUGGGUUGUAAACUGCUUUUGUAUGGGGAUAAAGUCAAUCACGUGUGAUUGUUUGCAGGUACCAUACGAAUAAGGACCGGCUAAUUCCGUGCCAGCAGCCGCGGUAAUACGGAAGGUCCGGGCGUUAUCCGGAUUUAUUGGGUUUAAAGGGAGCGUAGGCCGGAGAUUAAGUGUGUUGUGAAAUGUAGACGCUCAACGUCUGACUUGCAGCGCAUACUGGUUUCCUUGAGUACGCACAACGUUGGCGGAAUUCGUCGUGUAGCGGUGAAAUGCUUAGAUAUGACGAAGAACUCCGAUUGCGAAGGCAGCUGACGGGAGCGCAACUGACGCUUAAGCUCGAAGGUGCGGGUAUCGAACAGG
This 761-nucleotide ribosomal RNA is filed under the name Prevotella melaninogenica. Its description in RNAcentral is "bacterial SSU rRNA". It matches the Rfam family "Bacterial small subunit ribosomal RNA", at positions 28 to 776 of the family's 1533-position model. The record is from RNAcentral. Lineage: Bacteria; Pseudomonadati; Bacteroidota; Bacteroidia; Bacteroidales; Prevotellaceae.